UGUCUAUUUCUCCUUCAGUUUUCCUUCUUGUGACGAUUUUCCUUCGAUUUAUUCUGUCUUCAUCAACCACCGUUAGACGAAAGUCUCAACAGAUUGAUCCAGCAAGAUCUUCACCGCUACACGGGAUGGAAAAUUUCUUCCACAAACGGAGUCUUUCCUCAUCCACGUAUCUCUUUUUCGUUGCUCUUCUUUACCGUUAAUAUUGCAUGCGUUCUUACCUCUUCUUUCUUCUGCGAUGACUUGGAGAAGUUACGCCAUUCUCC
RNAcentral lists this unclassified non-coding RNA (263 nucleotides) under Bombus terrestris (buff-tailed bumblebee). RNAcentral's name for it is "misc RNA ENSBTSG00005019773.1". The record is from RNAcentral. Lineage: Eukaryota; Metazoa; Arthropoda; Insecta; Hymenoptera; Apidae.